RNAcentral lists this ribosomal RNA (422 nucleotides) under uncultured bacterium. RNAcentral describes it as "bacterial SSU rRNA". It matches the Rfam family "Bacterial small subunit ribosomal RNA", at positions 355 to 774 of the family's 1533-position model. The record is from RNAcentral.
UGAGGAAUAUUGGGCAAUGCCCGCAAGGGUGACCCAGCAACGCCGCGUGGAGGAUGAAUGUCGUAAGAUUGUAAACUCCUGUUAGAGGGGAAGAAUAGUACCGGUUGGACCGGUAUAUGACUGUACCCUCAGAGAAAGCCCCGGCUAACUACGUGCCAGCAGCCGCGGUAAUACGUAGGGGGCAAGCGUUGUCCGGAUUUACUGGGUGUAAAGGGCGCGCAGGCGGGAUAAAAAGUCAGUGGUGAAAUCCUACAGCUUAACUGUAGAACUGCCUUCGAUACUUUUACUCUUGAGUUCGGGAGAGAGAGACGGAAUUCCAGGUGUAGUGGUGAAAUACGUAGAUAUCUGGAAGAACACCAGUUGCGAAGGCGGUCUCUUGGUCCGACACUGACGCUGAGGCGCGAAAGCGUGGGGAGCAAACA